RNAcentral lists this ribosomal RNA (366 nucleotides) under Triticum aestivum (bread wheat). Its description in RNAcentral is "partial small subunit ribosomal RNA". The record is from RNAcentral. Lineage: Eukaryota; Viridiplantae; Streptophyta; Magnoliopsida; Poales; Poaceae.
AUGGAGAAGCACACGAUCCGGAUUGCUGCGCUGACCCUGUUAUCUGUACACCUCCUAUGCUCCGCCACCAUAGCGCAAUGCCAAACCAUCGCGGCUGGCGUGGACAACGGCGAUAUCAAUGAAAUAAUUUGUUGCCGUAAAAAGUGCAACUUCUUUAAUUGUUGUGCCUGUUGUAUUUAUACUGACUGGUGCUACUCAAGUUUCGAGAGGUGCAAUAGAAACUGCUUGGUCACCUUCUCGCAUUCUGAUGAAAUGCUAGCCGCGACCAAGGUGACCCCUGAAACUGUGCUGACCAGGUCUGCAGUACGCACGGACAGCUUAAUGAGAGGUGUCAUCCCAGAAGAGUUCGGCGAUUGUCAUGUGUAG